AUAACCCUUUUGCAGCCACGUGUCACUUUUUACACGUGUCUUUUUGUGUUCGUUGGGUCGCCAAACCCUAAAUCAAUCACACUGCCAAAACAAACCUCUGAAUCAGCUCUCCCUUAAAUCAAUAACAGCGAUUCCACCCAAAUAGAUAUCAUCGGAAUCAUGAUCUCUCUGAAACAAAUUCACACCCUUUGAUGAAAACCCUAAUGUAAUAACAACCGAAUAGCCCAUCAGUUAUUUUUACCGCUGCAGUCGCAAGCAUUACGGUCAAGCUUCGCCGGAGUCGAUCGAACUCCAGUUCAAGGAUGGUGACUGAUAUUGCAGUGAUGACAAGAGCACAUUUUGGAGAGUUUCCAGUUUUCAUUUCAUAUACACGUAUGUAGUCUGACAGUGGCAUCAUCGUUUCAAAAGAGACGAAAGAGAUAAAGAGAGAGACAAAGAACUAGAGAGGGAGAGAGAGGGAGAGAAAGAGUGGGAGAAAGAGAGAGGGAAGUAGAGAAGGUAGUGUGAUCAACCGAUCUUAGCCUGAGUGUCACUGUCGGUGAAAACGUGGUUUAGGGUCGUUAUGCAGAGCUCCAACGAGGUGUUUGAGGGUCUACAGAUCUAAAACUUUUCUUAGGCAACCAAACCGCCACUCACGACGAGGAAGAAUGACCUGUGGGUGCAUGUCCAUCAUCGACGAAGAAGAACGACCAACUUGUGCAGCGAAGAAGAACCAUCGACAACUGUAUUCUUCACUAUAUACCCUGGGCCACUGGAUCUGAAACUUAACAACCCGUUUGUGUGUUUUUAUAGACAUGUUUUAUCUCGCCAGGUUUGGUUGCAGAAUAUGAAAGUCGGAUAACUCAUGCGGACUCAAGUUGCGGCUGAACGGGUUCUAUAUAAACAACUCAACUGGUCACUUUUGGAGUUUAGUUCAGAUAUUUGUUUUUCAACCCAUUUGUUUCUCUCUUUAGGGUAUCAAAUUGAAACUCAAGAUUUAGUGUUUGUUUGAUCUAUUCAUGUUAUAGAUCUUUGUCACCUGUUAGAUCUUGUGAUUAUUCAUCAGAUCGUUAUGUAAUCUGAUGUGAGAGUCUUGUGUGAGUUGAUUUGUUUACAUGUCUUUUUUUAAUUGUUUUUGGUAUAAAAGAUUUAUCUUAUAUCGUGUA
Molecule: long non-coding RNA, 1145 nt
Organism: Helianthus annuus (common sunflower)
Lineage: Eukaryota; Viridiplantae; Streptophyta; Magnoliopsida; Asterales; Asteraceae
Exons: 2
Source: RefSeq, a predicted model, not a curated record